RNA transcript from Setaria italica (foxtail millet), 3903 nucleotides. It is a transcript of the gene named protein FAR1-RELATED SEQUENCE 5, with no coding region annotated. Lineage: Eukaryota; Viridiplantae; Streptophyta; Magnoliopsida; Poales; Poaceae. The record is from RefSeq and is a predicted model, not a curated record. The transcript has 6 exons.
CUUUCUAGUUUCUAUUCGAUUCAUUGAUUGGAAUUUUGGAUUGAAAGUUGAAUCAUCCAUGCACUGAAAUUUCAGACCUAUGCUUUGUAAUUGAUACUGCAAAAUGAAGAGGAGUAGGAUAUUGGCAUCUCUAUUUACCUCGUGUUCAUGCCACACAACUGAAUGAAAUUGAUAAACACUCUCCACCUUGUCUAGAUCCAAAGAAUUCCUUUACCAAUUAUGACCGUGAGAAACUAAUUGAACUUGCUGAGAUUUACUAUGCUGACUUUUCCUACUGAGCUUUCUAAACUUUGGUGCCAACUUGAUAAUUUCAUUGCUGAUGUGAGAGCUGAUCCUUUUACAAAUUGUGUGGACCUUGGUGUUUUUGCUAUGAAGAUGGACCCUUUCAUGUCCUGUUGCUAAUUGCUAUUACUCUAUAUGUGACACAUGUGCUGUAGCUUUGGUCGCUGAAUUUUGGCCCUAGUCUUGACCAAAAGCUGGGUCCGCCACUGCUUGGGUGCAUUUCUCCCGGAGUGGAUUUUGUUCUGGGAGAUCAUUCACCUUCUCCUUGAGCAGUCGAAUCCAAAAUUUUCGUUCCUCCACCCAUGGAUUGGCCUCGAGCUGUCAAUUUGCGCCAUAGGAUUUGGACUUGGGUUCUGUGGCGAGGGCGCAGUUCAAUCCCCACCAGCGAAAUUGGCGGUUCAAAGGGACCCCCGAUGCCGUCGGCGCUUGGGGAGAAGGAUCCCCAAGUUGCGCCGGGGCCUGCGACUGCACCUCCGCAGGUACAGGCUCUCAGGCCUGCCGAUGCCACAGGUAGUCCCGUCAUAGACCCGAGGCUAGCGCAGCAGUCUUGGCCCGGCCAUGUAGUACUCCUGCGUCCAUGUGUGCCUUGGCCUCCUCAGGUGCCUGUCCCGCUGCUGCUUAAUGCUGCAAAUCCGCAGCAAAAUGCGAAUGCUAUGGCGGAUGUGGCUGCGGCAGAUGUUAACCCUGCGAUAGAUAGCUGUGACGAGAAUAUGUUGCCCAAGGUGAACAUGCUUUUUGAUGGCGAGAGUGAUGCGUAUGAGUUCUACAAUGCUUAUGCGGAGAAGGUGGGCUUCUUUGUCCGGAGGUCAACGCUCUGGACAACUUCAAAGAACAUAAUCACUAGGAGAACUUUUGUAUGCUCAAGAGAGGGUUUCCGGGAGAAGAAGAAGGGGGCCAAGGAAGCAAAAUGCCCACGCCCUGAAACACGAAUUGGGUGCCCUGCAAGCUUGACCAUUAGACUUACUGCUAACGGCAAGUACCGUUUGACAGAGUUUGUACCAAAUCAUAACCAUCAACUGGCAACAGCAUCUACAAUUCAUAUGCUGAAAGCAAAGAAAAUCAGGCGCAAAGCACGGGCUGUGAGAGAAAAUCUGGUUGACGAGACUGUAAGUAUGCCAGAAUUUGAAAAUGAAGAUGAGGCAUAUGAAUUUUACAGCAUGUAUGCAGGGAAAAUUGGGUUCAAUGUGCGAAGGGCUAGCAUGACGGUGAAUACUGAGAAUGUUAUCACCAGAAGAAUGUUUGUUUGUUCAAAAGAAGGGUUCCGUGAGAAGAAGAGAGGAGCGAAAAGAGUAAAGAAACCUCGACCGGAGACACGGACUGGCUGUCCAGCAUGUAUGGUCAUCAGGCUUGGAACUAAUGGCAAAUAUCAAGUCACAGAAUUUGUUACCUUCCACAAUCACCAGCUUGGGGCUGCAGCAGCUUCUGAUCUUGCCAUGGCAUCACAGAGUACAGAAAAUGAUCAAGAGGAUGGAGUUGAUCUGGCAGAUAGAUCGCCUGAUGAUUCUGUUCACAAGCAAAAUCUUAUUAAUGAAAGUGCCACUCUAAAUUCCAUAGAAGGUAGAAGUUGCAAAAGAUACAAGUGUACAAAGACUCCACACUAUGGUGAUGUUGGUGCUACUCUAGAGUACCUGCAAAAGAUGCAACACGAUAACCCUUCAUUCUUCUAUGCUGUAAAAUCUGAUGAGAAUGGGAACUUCACGAAUUUUUUCUGGGCAGAUUCAAAGUCUACUGUAGAUUUUGUCCAUUUUGGUGAUGUAGUGUGUUUUGAUUCAGGAUAUGCAUUGCAAGGCUAUGGUAGGCCACUUGCUCUGUUUACAGGUUUGAAUCAUCAUAAGCAAACAGUUAUCUUUGGUGCUGCAUUACUUUAUGAUGAAAGUAAUGAGGCUUUCAGAUGGUUAUUAGAUACUUUCAAGAUGGCAAUGAAUGGAAAUCCUAAGACAUUGUUAACUGAUAGAUCUGCUGCAAUAAGUGAAGCUGUUGCAGCCACAUUACCUGCUACAGCCCAUCGUUAUUGUGUGUGGCAAAUUUACCAAAAUGCUCUUCAGCAGUUGAGUCAAGCUUUCCACGGUUCAAAAACUCUAGAAUGCAACUUCAAGAGAUGCUUAUUUGAUUGUGAGGAUGAGGAUGAGUUUUUGACAGCAUGGAAGGAAAUGUUGGAAAAAUAUGACCUAGAAGAUAAUCAAUGGCUAGCAGAUUUGUACUCAAUUAAGGAGAAAUGGGCAUUGCCAUAUGGUCGCGAUGCAUUUUAUGCUGAUAUGAAAAGUGUCCAACAAAAGGAAAGCUUGACAAGUGAGUUGAAAAAACAUUUAUGCUUGGAAUAUGACCUUUUGAACUUCUUUGAGCAGUUUGAAAGACUAUUAUGUGAUCGUCGAUCUGCAGAGCUGGAAGCUGAUGUGAAUGCUAAUCAAAGCACAAAGAAGCCACCUAUGCGAAUGUUGAGGCAAGCUGCCAAUGUAUAUACACCUGCUGCCUUUAAAAUGUUUGAGAGGGAAUUUGAGUUAUACAUGGAUUGCAUGCUUUACAACUGUGGUGAGAUGGGCACUAUUUUCGAGUACAGGAUAAGUGUUGAAGACAAUCCAAAAGAUCAUUUUGUUAAAUUCGAUUCACACAAUUCCAUGAUGAACUGUACUUGUAAGACGUUUGAGUUUAUUGGCAUCCCAUGUCGCCAUAUGCUGAAGGUACUUGACACAAGGAAUAUCAAGGACCUUCCUGUUCAGUACAUUGUGAAAAGGUGGACAAAGGAUGCCAAAUCAGGGUCUUCAAAUGGUGGUUGUGCUUUCUCAUUUGAACCUGAGUCUGCUCAGACAAAACGUUACAAUUUACUGUGUCGCAUAUUCAGUAUAGCAGCGGCUAGGGCUGCAACCUCUGCAGAAUCAUUCACAUUUAUGGAAAACCAAUCAAACAUACUGAUGGAUCAAGUAGAGCAAGUUAUUCAAACCAGGCCCCCUGACAUAGUUGACCUUAUUGGUGCUAAUUGUGACCGAACUCAAAGUUCAGUUGACAAUAUUGUCGCCGAAGGCAUUCACGGUCAUACUAAUUUUCUUAAUGGCUCCGCUGAUGGCUCUCUAACAUUUCCAUUCACAUUGGGUGCUGGCGCAUUGGAUUACCGCUGACAGACCAAGUCUUUUUAGGCAGGAUGACAUAACUGGAUUUCUACUAAUUUGUUGGUGACUGCGCAUUAAUUAUGGAGCUGCAAUUAACAAUGGCACAUCUACUUGCACAGGUCGUUGCAGAAGGAAUACGAAAUUGCUGGAGAUUUAUCCAUUUACAUUGCAGGCCUAAUAUUGUUUCCGCUGUAGCUCUACACCUGAAGAAAGUCAAGCAUUCUUUCCCCUUAGCCAGCAAUACAUGUAUAUACUUUGCUGGGAAGCGUUUUUCAUGAGUUGGAAUAAGCAACCAGAUACGUUGAUCAUGGCCUGGUUUACUGAGCUUCUGAUCACUUAACCAAGGCUAACCGACUCCAUAUGAGCUGUAGCCUUUUAACCCGUUCUGUACAUGCUGUAUUGCUGUUUCAGUAGCUUAGUCAUCCCAAAUGUGUAAUGUAUGAAUCUUUCUAACAUCAUUAUAUCAAUAGUAUUUGGCAACUGGUAAUCAGUUGCUGGUGUACUAUAUAGUUCGUUA